Molecule: ribosomal RNA, 1356 nt
Filed under: Vibrio neocaledonicus
Lineage: Bacteria; Pseudomonadati; Pseudomonadota; Gammaproteobacteria; Vibrionales; Vibrionaceae
Description: bacterial SSU rRNA
Rfam family: Bacterial small subunit ribosomal RNA
Source: RNAcentral
GAUAACGGCGUCGAGCGGCGGACGGGUGAGUAAUGCCUAGGAAAUUGCCCUGAUGUGGGGGAUAACCAUUGGAAACGAUGGCUAAUACCGCAUGAUGCCUACGGGCCAAAGAGGGGGACCUUCGGGCCUCUCGCGUCAGGAUAUGCCUAGGUGGGAUUAGCUAGUUGGUGAGGUAAGGGCUCACCAAGGCGACGAUCCCUAGCUGGUCUGAGAGGAUGAUCAGCCACACUGGAACUGAGACACGGUCCAGACUCCUACGGGAGGCAGCAGUGGGGAAUAUUGCACAAUGGGCGCAAGCCUGAUGCAGCCAUGCCGCGUGUGUGAAGAAGGCCUUCGGGUUGUAAAGCACUUUCAGUCGUGAGGAAGGUAGUGUAGUUAAUAGCUGCAUUAUUUGACGUUAGCGACAGAAGAAGCACCGGCUAACUCCGUGCCAGCAGCCGCGGUAAUACGGAGGGUGCGAGCGUUAAUCGGAAUUACUGGGCGUAAAGCGCAUGCAGGUGGUUUGUUAAGUCAGAUGUGAAAGCCCGGGGCUCAACCUCGGAAUAGCAUUUGAAACUGGCAGACUAGAGUACUGUAGAGGGGGGUAGAAUUUCAGGUGUAGCGGUGAAAUGCGUAGAGAUCUGAAGGAAUACCGGUGGCGAAGGCGGCCCCCUGGACAGAUACUGACACUCAGAUGCGAAAGCGUGGGGAGCAAACAGGAUUAGAUACCCUGGUAGUCCACGCCGUAAACGAUGUCUACUUGGAGGUUGUGGCCUUGAGCCGUGGCUUUCGGAGCUAACGCGUUAAGUAGACCGCCUGGGGAGUACGGUCGCAAGAUUAAAACUCAAAUGAAUUGACGGGGGCCCGCACAAGCGGUGGAGCAUGUGGUUUAAUUCGAUGCAACGCGAAGAACCUUACCUACUCUUGACAUCCAGAGAACUUUCCAGAGAUGGAUUGGUGCCUUCGGGAACUCUGAGACAGGUGCUGCAUGGCUGUCGUCAGCUCGUGUUGUGAAAUGUUGGGUUAAGUCCCGCAACGAGCGCAACCCUUAUCCUUGUUUGCCAGCGAGUAAUGUCGGGAACUCCAGGGAGACUGCCGGUGAUAAACCGGAGGAAGGUGGGGACGACGUCAAGUCAUCAUGGCCCUUACGAGUAGGGCUACACACGUGCUACAAUGGCGCAUACAGAGGGCGGCCAACUUGCGAAAGUGAGCGAAUCCCAAAAAGUGCGUCGUAGUCCGGAUUGGAGUCUGCAACUCGACUCCAUGAAGUCGGAAUCGCUAGUAAUCGUGGAUCAGAAUGCCACGGUGAAUACGUUCCCGGGCCUUGUACACACCGCCCGUCACACCAUGGGAGUGGGCUGCAAAAGAAGUAGGUAG